AUGUUUCAUGCUAUGAUACUAACAUCCCUCUUGACCCCACAACUGCCCAAGAACCUCCUGCAAUUGUUGAUCCUCGGCCUCCUCAUUAACCCUCUUGUGAAUGUAAGUCUACUCAAUUGCCUGAUUUUGUCUAUUCCACUUACUCGGCUUCUUUUUCUAACCUUUAUCCACAGUUUGUCUAAUCCUUCUUCCUAUAAAGAGGAUAUUCUUGACCCUCUUUGGCAGUAG
Non-coding RNA from Vicia faba (fava bean), 228 nucleotides. NCBI's taxonomy places the organism in Eukaryota, Viridiplantae, Streptophyta, Magnoliopsida, Fabales, Fabaceae. The record is from the annotation of a GenBank genome assembly.